RNAcentral lists this unclassified non-coding RNA (389 nucleotides) under uncultured fungus. Its description in RNAcentral is "sequence contains ITS2". Lineage: Eukaryota; Fungi. The record is from RNAcentral.
AACGCACAUUGCGCUUCCUGGCAUUCCGGGGAGCAUGCCUGUUUCAGAAUCAUUAAAACCUCUCACCUACUAUUGUGUUUAAUGCCAAUAGUUUUGGUGGAUUUUGAGUGUUUUCAAAUUAAUUUUUGAAUCAUUUAAAUAAUAUUGUGUGCAGCCAUUAUUUCACUCAUUUUCAAAAUGUUUGGUGAAUGGUUCCCAAGUGCAAUAAAGACUAAAAAUCUCUAUACUCUUGAGUACCGCAAAAUUCCCGGACAAUUAAUUUUGAAUGUGGGAUCAUGAAUUAAUUGUUAGUACCUCAAAUUAUUACACGAUUUAUUUAUUUUGUUCGCGCAAAAUAAAUAAUUCGAAACUUUGAUCUGAAAUCAAGCAAGAAAACCCGCUGAACUUAA